GAAGAAAGCUGGCGGCGUGCCUAAUACAUGCAAGUUGAGCGAUGAAGAUUGGUGCUUGCACCAAUUUGAAGAGCAGCGAACGGGUGAGUAACGCGUGGGGAAUCUGCCUUUGAGCGGGGGACAACAUUUGGAAACGAAUGCUAAUACCGCAUAACAACUUUAAACAUAAGUUUUAAGUUUGAAAGAUGCAAUUGCAUCACUCAAAGAUGAUCCCGCGUUGUAUUAGCUAGUUGGUGAGGUAAAGGCUCACCAAGGCGAUGAUACAUAGCCGACCUGAGAGGGUGAUCGGCCACAUUGGGACUGAGACACGGCCCAAACUCCUACGGGAGGCAGCAGUAGGGAAUCUUCGGCAAUGGACGAAAGUCUGACCGAGCAACGCCGCGUGAGGGAAGAAGGUUUUCGGAUCGUAAAACUCUGUUGGUAGAGAAGAACGUUGGUGAGAGUGGAAAGCUCAUCAAGUGACGGUAACUACCCAGAAAGGGACGGCUAACUACGUG
This 497-nucleotide ribosomal RNA is filed under the name uncultured bacterium. Its description in RNAcentral is "partial 16S ribosomal RNA". It matches the Rfam family "Bacterial small subunit ribosomal RNA", at positions 31 to 507 of the family's 1533-position model. The record is from RNAcentral.